UGUUUUUCAAAGUUAUGUGCCUUAUAAUGUUCAUGUGAUCACAAGUGCAUUGUAAUGUUGUGAGUGGUGAUUCUCGAAGUAUCGAGAAUGGGUUUCGACG
This is a long non-coding RNA of Ipomoea nil (Japanese morning glory), 100 nucleotides long. RefSeq lists it as uncharacterized. The record is from RefSeq and is a predicted model, not a curated record. The transcript has 3 exons. NCBI's taxonomy places the organism in Eukaryota, Viridiplantae, Streptophyta, Magnoliopsida, Solanales, Convolvulaceae.